AGAGUGCUAAAUGAUGUAUCAUGCUUAAUUUCGACUUAAGUUUAGGUGUUACCAGUGCUAG
Molecule: transfer RNA, 61 nt
Filed under: Trichinella patagoniensis
Lineage: Eukaryota; Metazoa; Nematoda; Enoplea; Trichinellida; Trichinellidae
Description: tRNA-Arg
Source: RNAcentral